This is a long non-coding RNA of Nerophis ophidion (straightnose pipefish), 1933 nucleotides long. RefSeq lists it as uncharacterized. The transcript is spliced from 7 exons. NCBI's taxonomy places the organism in Eukaryota, Metazoa, Chordata, Actinopteri, Syngnathiformes, Syngnathidae. The record is from RefSeq and is a predicted model, not a curated record.
UAGUGUGUGAAUGUGAAUGUGAACGUUGUCUAUCUCUGUUGGCGACUUGUACAGGGUGUACGCCGCCUUCCGCCCGAUUGUAGCUGAGAUAGGCGCCAGCUCCCCCCGCGAUCCCAAAAGGGAAUAAGCGGUAGAAAUGGAUGGAUGUUUUACUAGGUGUAACACAUUUUAAUUUUGUACUAUUAACUUUUCGGAGUGUGUAGUUGGUUUUAGUCUGUACGUGACGCCAUUUUGGACAGCAUACUUCGUUUUCAUUACAUUUUUGUGACCCUUACUGCUCAUUAAUGUGGGGUUUACUGCUUUUAUAUCGAGUUCCCGACAUCGUAGAGGCCAAUAUGAACCCAAGAGAUAUAGAGGGAAUUACGGCAAACGACGAGGGCGGUCGCAACAGUUGCCUUGGUUAAAUUUGGGCCCUGCCAUAGUGGAAAUGGGCUUCCUGGACAACGAUUCACCACCGCCUCCACUGGUUGACCGAGACAACCUACCCAUGUUAACCCUGUUAACAGAAAAUGACAUGGGUUACCUGGAUGACCAGUUAACUUACUCCAGUUGCAUGCACCUAUCUUACCUGAACAUGAUGUUACCAAGCAGUACAUGAACCAUCAGUACACGGUCUCUGAGUUGCCUGUCCUUUACCUGCAUGCUCCCACACCACCGCAGUGUCUUGAAGUGUACCCCCAAGAAGUGUGCAACUAUAACUCAUAAAUACAUUCCUGUCUCCACAAAGGUCUCUAAUUUAAACAAUUUCCAUAUUUGCACCAGCAUGGAGCUGACACCAAGAGAGGUUACUGGAGAGGAGGCAGAUUGGUACGAGCUCCUGAUGCCACUGCUUGGACACAUGGUGGAGAUGGGCGCCCCGGACAAUGAUUCACCACCGUCUCCUCUGGUUAACCCAGACGACCUACCCAUGUUAACAAUGUUAACAGAAAAUUAUAUAGGCUACCUGGCAGUGUCUUGAAGUACCCCCAAAGAUGUCGGAGUGCAACUCUAACCCACACAUAUAUUCCUACCUCCACAAAGGUCUAUAUAUCAAAGAAACGUGAUGUCCAGGAAAGCAGAGAGAAGACCUGUAUUAAAAAGCCACCAAAUACCUUCAUGAUCUUCAGGAAGGAGCAAAUGUCCAAAAUCAAAGGUCAGCUGAAUAUCAGCAAGGGGACAAUCAACACAACAACUAAGGAAGCCAGUCUUUGCACAGCUGCUAGUUCCCAGCUUUGUGAAUGCACUGCUGCUGCUGCAACGUGUGCUACCUGAAGACCCAAAGCAAAAUGCUGGGAGUUUGCUUUCCAAAAUAAAGUGGACCUUCCUUAGAAGAUGGCAUUUAACUAUAACAUUGCCACAUUUGGACAAACAAACAUAAAAUAUGACUUUCAAAUAAGUCAUGCCUAUCAAUUACUGUUUCAUAUGUAACAUGUUGUGUGUCUUUUAAUGACUAUUUCAUAGAAUACAUGUAAUUUUGUAUACAAUUGUAUAAUGAUGUUUAUUUAUAUACAGUACAUGGCCUGUUACAGUUAAUACUCUUAUUUAACACUUUUAUAAUGUUUUCUUCCCUGCCAGUCAUCUGAAUAAGAGUCAAUAGGUAAUAUAAAUAUUAUGGCUCUUUAGCUGCUCCAGUCAUGUUAUUGUUUAAUUUAGGUCAGUUUUAAGAUUUGUACUUGAAUUGAUUUGAAGUUAUUUGUUUUCAAAACAGGUUUACAGUGUUUUAAGUUGAAAUGCUUAAAAUUUAAAUAACAUCUGUGACAGAAUUUGGGUUUAUAUAUUUUAAUCAGCAUGUGUAUUAUUAAAGGCCUACUGAAAUGAGAUUUUCCUAUUUAAACGGGGAUAGCAGGUCCAUUCUAUGUGUCAUACUUGAUCAUUUUGCGAUAUUGCCAUAUUUUUGCUGAAAGGAUUUAGUAGAGAACAUGGACGAUUAAGUUCGCAACUUUUGGUCGCUAAU